Molecule: ribosomal RNA, 809 nt
Filed under: Thelebolales sp.
Lineage: Eukaryota; Fungi; Ascomycota; Leotiomycetes; Thelebolales
Description: partial large subunit ribosomal RNA
Rfam family: Eukaryotic large subunit ribosomal RNA
Source: RNAcentral
GGGAUUACCUCAGUAACGGCGAGUGAAGCGGUAACAGCUCAAAUUUGAAAUCUGGCAGCAAUGUCCGAGUUGUAAUUUGUAGAGGAUGUUUCGAGCAUGGUCUGGCCUAAGUUCCUUGGAACAGGACGUCAUAGAGGGUGAGAAUCCCGUAUGCGGUCAGGUGCCUACGCUCAUGUGAAACUCCUUCGACGAGUCGAGUUGUUUGGGAAUGCAGCUCAAAAUGGGUGGUAAAUUUCAUCUAAAGCUAAAUAUUGGCCAGAGACCGAUAGCGCACAAGUAGAGUGAUCGAAAGAUGAAAAGCACUUUGGAAAGAGAGUUAAACAGUACGUGAAAUUGUUGAAAGGGAAGCGCUUGCAACCAGACUUGCACGCAGCUGAUCAUCCGCUGUUCUCAGUGGUGCACUCGGUUGCGUUCAGGCCAGCAUCGGUUUUGGUGGUGGGAUAAAGGCCUUAGGAAUGUAGCUGCUUUCGGGCAGUGUUAUAGCCUAGGGUGCAAUGCCGCCUACUGGGACCGAGGACCGCGCUUCGGCUAGGAUGCUGGCGUAAUGGUUGUAAGCGACCCGUCUUGAAACACGGACCAAGGAGUCUAACAUCUAUGCGAGUGUUUGGGUGUCAAACCCAUACGCGUAAUGAAAGUGAACGGAGGUCAGAACCCUUAAGGGUGCAUGAUCGACCGGUCCUGAAGUCUUCGGAUGGAUCUGAGUAAGAGCAUAGCUGUUGGGACCCGAAAGAUGGUGAACUAUGCCUGAAUAGGGUGAAGCCAGAGGAAACUCUGGUGGAGGCUCGCAGCGGUUCUGACGUGCAAAUCGA